Molecule: ribosomal RNA, 2355 nt
Filed under: Fusobacterium animalis
Lineage: Bacteria; Fusobacteriati; Fusobacteriota; Fusobacteriia; Fusobacteriales; Fusobacteriaceae
Description: bacterial LSU rRNA
Rfam family: Bacterial large subunit ribosomal RNA
Source: RNAcentral
AGAUUAAAAUAAUUAAGGGCACACAAAGGAUGCCUAGGUAGUAAGAGCCGAUGAAGGACGUGGUAAGCUGCGAUAAGCCUAGAUAAGUUGCAAUCGAACGUAAGAGUCUAGGAUUUCCGAAUGGAGCAAUCUAUUAAGAUGGAGUCUUAAUACGAAAGAGGGAACCACGUGAACUGAAACAUCUAAGUAACGUGAGGAAAAGAAAGUAAAAACGAUACCCAAAGUAGCGGCGAGCGAACUGGGUCAAGCCUAAACCUUAAAUAUGUCAAGGAUACAGCCGUUGUAUUUAAGGGGUUGAGGGACAAAGUAGUGAAGAACUGUAAGAUAUUCAAUAUAGUGUAUUGAUGAAUUAGAAUUGUAUGGAAAGAUAAACCGCAGAAGGUGAGAGUCCUGUAUAAGUAAAUCCUUACACAUAUAACUUUGCUCCCAAGUAACAUGGAACACGAGGAAUUCUGUGUGAAUCAGUGAGGACCAUAUCUCAUAAGGCUAAAUACUCUUACUAACCGAUAGCGCAUAGUACCGUGAGGGAAAGGUGAAAAGAACCCCUGGAGGGGAGUGAAAUAGAACCUGAAAUUGUGUGCUUACAAGCGGUCAGAGCCCAUUUGGGUGAUGGCGUGCCUUUUGGAGAAUGAUCCUGCGAGUUACGUUAAACGGCGAGGUUAAGUAUAACGGAGCCGAAGGGAAACCAAGUCUUAAUAGGGCGAUAUAGUCGUUUGGCGUAGACGCGAAACCUGGUGAUCUAAACCUGUCCAGGAUGAAGCUGUGGUAAGACACAGUGGAGGUCCUAACCCACCGCCGUUGAAAAGUUGGGGGAUGAGGUAGGUUUAGGGGUGAAAAGCCAAUCGAACCAGGAGAUAGCUCGUUCUCUCCGAAAUGCAUCUAGGUGCAGCCUUGAGUGUUCAAUUAUGGGGGUAGAGCACUGAAUGAUCUAGGGGGCAUAUUGCUUACUGAAAUCAAUCAAACUCCAAAUACCAUAAUUUAUAGCUCAGGAGUGAGACCAUGGGAGUUAACUUCCAUUGUCAAAAGGGAAACAACCCAGACCACCAGCUAAGGUCCCUAAUUAUAACUAAGUGGGAAAGGAGGUGGAGAUUCACAAACAACUAGGAGGUUGGCUUAGAAGCAGCCAUACCUUUAAAGAGUGCGUAAUAGCUCACUAGUCGAGAGUCUCUGCGCCGACAAUGUAACGGGGCUAAGUUAUAAACCGAAGCUGUGGAAUCCUUAUGGAUUGGUAGGAGAGCGUUCUGUAGGCUGUUGAAGAAGAAGGGUAACCAACUUUGGAGGUAUCAGAAGUGAGAAUGCAGGAAUAAGUAGCGAGAAAGGGGGCGAGAAUCCCCCUCGCCGGAAGACCAAGGUUUUCAGGGUAAAGCUUGUCUUCCCUGAGUAAGCCGGGACCUAAGCCCAGGCUAUAAUGCGUAGGCGAAUGGAAAACAGAUUAAUAUUUCUGUGCCAGUCAUUUAUUGUGAUGGAGGGACGCAGAAGGGUAUGUGCGCGGACGAUCGGUUGUGUCCGUAGAAGUAUGUAGGGUGACUUAGUAGGUAAAUCCAUUAAGUUAUAUCUGAGGUAUGAUAUACAGUCGUAAGAUGAAUGUACAAAUCCCACGCUGCCAAGAAAAACUUCUAACGUUAAUAUAUGACUGCCCGUACUGUAAACCGACACAGGUGGUCAGGAUGAGAAAUCUAAGGCGGACAGGCUAACUCUCGUUAAGGAACUCUGCAAAAUAACCUCGUAACUUCGGGAGAAGAGGAGCCCUUGUGUGUGAGUAUACACGCGAUACAAAGCGCACGAGGGUCGCAGUGAAGAGGCUCAAGCAACUGUUUAACAAAAACACAGGUCUAUGCUAAGCUGUAAGGCGAUGUAUAUGGGCUGACACCUGCCCAGUGCUGGAAGGUUAAGAGGAGGAGUGAGAGCUCCGAAUUGAAGCCCCAGUGAACGGCGGCCGUAACUAUAACGGUCCUAAGGUAGCGAAAUUCCUUGUCGGGUAAGUUCCGACCUGCACGAAUGGUGUAAUGAUUUGAGCGCUGUCUUGACGGGAGGCCUGGUGAAAUUGUAUUACCGGUGAAGAUACCGGUUACCUACAGUAGGACGGAAAGACCCCAUGGAGCUUUACUGUAGCUUGGUAUUGGGUUUUGGCAUUGCAUGUAUAGGAUAGUUGGGAGACUAUGAUGGUAUGGCGCUAGCUGUAUCGGAGUCAUCGGUGGAAUACCAACCAUUCAAUGCUGAAAUUCUAAUCUGUGGUUUGUCGCCACGGAGACAGUGCUAGGUGGGCAGUUUGACUGGGGCGGUCGCCUCCGAAAGAGUAACGGAGGCGUUCAAAGGUUCUCUCAGGUUGGAUGGAAAUCAACCAUAGAGUGCAAU